AUUUAAUAGUGCAGGAAUAAACAGAAAUCUGCAAUGACUGAAUGAGAAUGGUUUUCAUCUUCGAUUUUGGUAUCGUUUUCGUUCGCUCCCAAAUAAUUUUUAUACACGUUCGCCCCAUAGGACCUAACGCAUCUAAUUUCAAAUUCCAGUUGAAUUCAGUAUUACAAGGUAUGGGCAGAGGAGUUGACUAUUGAUAAUGACUGAUACUGGAAUUAAUGAAGUAACCUACAUGUAGUGUCCAAUCUCUAUGUGGAGUUUGCCUAUCAGACAGUCCAUUUUUACAUGUACCAAAAAAUAAUUAGCUCCCCAGAUGUAAGUGGAAGUGAAGUUAUACAUGUUAUAUGUUUCGAUGAAAUGAAUGACUUGAUUAGAUAUACAUGUAGUGGAGACCCUAUAGAUACAGUACAUGUAACUGGAACUGUAGGAAGUAUUCAAAGAGUCUGAUUGCUAAGUAUGCAUUACAGGAUUUUAUCAUUGGAGCAACAUCUUAGGAGGAGAAGUGCAAAUGUAUGAAGGAAUCCUUGGGUACAAAUAGCAAUUAUAUGCAGAAGAGGACUCUUAAACAUUAUUAACAGACAUGUAGUCAUAGUAGUGGUGUUUUCAAGAAACGUAAACCAACUGGAAUUAACAAUUGUGUAUAUUUUUUCAACCACAAGUACUUUCAGAAUAUAAUACAUUUCAAAUUCAAAUUAUUGUGUCAACAUACAAGUUACAGUAAAAAAAUGAAAAUG
This is a long non-coding RNA of Mytilus californianus (California mussel), 731 nucleotides long. RefSeq lists it as uncharacterized. The transcript is spliced from 4 exons. NCBI's taxonomy places the organism in Eukaryota, Metazoa, Mollusca, Bivalvia, Mytilida, Mytilidae. The record is from RefSeq and is a predicted model, not a curated record.